GCCCCUAUAGCUCAAUUGGUAGAGCAACUGAUUUGUAAUCAGUAGGUUGGGAGUUCGAGUCUCUCUGGGGGCACCA
Molecule: transfer RNA, 76 nt
Filed under: Alphaproteobacteria bacterium
Lineage: Bacteria; Pseudomonadati; Pseudomonadota; Alphaproteobacteria
Also listed under: 2 other names
Description: tRNA-Thr
Rfam family: tRNA
About the family: Transfer RNA (tRNA) molecules are approximately 80 nucleotides in length. Their secondary structure includes four short double-helical elements and three loops (D, anti-codon, and T loops).
Source: RNAcentral